RNAcentral lists this ribosomal RNA (342 nucleotides) under uncultured bacterium. RNAcentral's name for it is "bacterial SSU rRNA". It matches the Rfam family "Bacterial small subunit ribosomal RNA", at positions 8 to 334 of the family's 1533-position model. The record is from RNAcentral.
AGGGUUUGAUCAUGGCUCAGGAUGAACGCUGGCGGCGUGCCUAACACAUGCAAGUCGAACGAAGCAUCUUACCGGAUUCUUCGGAUGAAAGUUUGGUGACUGAGUGGCGGACGGGUGAGUAACGCGUGGGUAACCUGCCCUGUACAGGGGGAUAACAGCUGGAAACGGCUGGUAAUACCGCAUAAGCGCACGAUGUCGCAUGACAUAGUGUGAAAAACUCCGGUGGUAUAAGAUGGACCCGCGUCUGAUUAGCUAGUUGGUGAGAUAACAGCCCACCAAGGCGACGAUCAGUAGCCGACCUGAGAGGGUGACCGGCCACAUUGGGACUGAGACACGGCCCAG